This 497-nucleotide ribosomal RNA is filed under the name uncultured bacterium. Its description in RNAcentral is "partial 16S ribosomal RNA". It matches the Rfam family "Bacterial small subunit ribosomal RNA", at positions 28 to 507 of the family's 1533-position model. The record is from RNAcentral.
GAUGAACGCUGGCGGCGUGCCUAAUACAUGCAAGUCGAGCGAACAGACGAGGAGCUUGCUCCUCUGACGUUAGCGGCGGACGGGUGAGUAACACGUGGAUAACCUACCUAUAAGACUGGGAUAACUUCGGGAAACCGGAGCUAAUACCGGAUAAUAUAUUGAACCGCAUGGUUCAAUAGUGAAAGACGGUUUUGCUGUCACUUAUAGAUGGAUCCGCGCCGCAUUAGCUAGUUGGUAAGGUAACGGCUUACCAAGGCAACGAUGCGUAGCCGACCUGAGAGGGUGAUCGGCCACACUGGAACUUAGACACGGUCCAGACUCCUACGGGAGGCAGCAGUAGGGAAUCUUCCGCAAUGGGCGAAAACCUGACGGAGCAACGCCGCGUGAGUGAUGAAGGUCUUCGGAUCGUAAAACUCUGUUAUUAGGGAAGAACAAAUGUGUAAGUAACUAUGCACGUCUUGACGGUACCUAAUCAGAAAGCCACGGCUAACUACGUG